RNAcentral lists this long non-coding RNA (884 nucleotides) under Mustela putorius furo (domestic ferret). Its description in RNAcentral is "lncRNA (ENSMPUG00000027560.1)". Lineage: Eukaryota; Metazoa; Chordata; Mammalia; Carnivora; Mustelidae. The record is from RNAcentral.
AUGGGCCACUUGCUUUGGCCCCAGACACCCCUACAGCUCCCCUCACUCCAAUCCAGCCUCUGGGGAGAGAGAGCACAGAUUGGGGGAAGGGACAGAGAGGGAGAAUCAGACUCCCCACUGAGCAGGGAACCAAUGUGGGGCUCGAUCCCAGGACCCUGGGAUCAUGAUGGGACCCAAAGAAAGACAUUUAAUCAACUGAGUCACCCAGGUGCCCCCCUGGUAAUAUUUCUUGCUCUGAAACCUACUUCUCUAAUCUUAUUCUAGCUAUAGCUAUUCCCGCUUUGUUUUGAUUGAUUAGUUGUUAGCAAUGGUAUAAUCUUUUUCCAUCCUUUUACAUUUAACUUAUUUGUGUCUUUAUAUUUAAGGUUUGUUUCUUACAGGUAGCAUAUAGUUGGGUACUGCUUUUUAAUUUUUUUUUAAUUUAAAUUCUAGUUAGUUAGUAUAUAGUGUAAUACUGGUUUCAGGAGUAGAAUUUACUAAUUCAUCAUUACAUAUCAGUGCUCAUGAUAAUAAGUGCCCUCCUGAAUAGCCAUCACCCAUUUAACCCAUCCUCCACCCACCUCCCUCCAUCAAACCCUAGUUUGUUCUCUAACAUUAAGAGUCUCUUAUGGUUUGUUGUCCACUCUGUGUUUUUUUUUUCCUUCCCAUCUGUUUAUCUGUUUUGUUUCUUUUCUUUCUUUCUUUCUUUUUAAGAUUUUAUUUAUUUAUUUAACAAAGAGAGAGAACAAGCAGAUGGCGUGGCAGGCAAGGGAGAGGGAGAAACAGGCUCCCCACUGAGCAGGGAGCCUGAUGUGGGGCUCUAUCCCAGGACCCCGGGAUCAAGACCAGAGUGGAAGGCAGACACUUAAUGGACUGAGACUCCCAGGCACCCCCAUCUGUUUUGU